This 403-nucleotide ribosomal RNA is filed under the name Verrucomicrobiota bacterium. Its description in RNAcentral is "Verrucomicrobia bacterium partial 16S ribosomal RNA". It matches the Rfam family "Bacterial small subunit ribosomal RNA", at positions 355 to 776 of the family's 1533-position model. Lineage: Bacteria; Pseudomonadati; Verrucomicrobiota. The record is from RNAcentral.
UGGGGAAUAUUGCACAAUGGGCGCAAGCCUGAUGCAGCAACGCCGCGUGAACGAUGAAGGUCUUCGGAUCGUAAAGUUCUGUUGCAGGGGAAGAUAAUGACGGUACCCUGUGAGGAAGCCCCGGCUAACUACGUGCCAGCAGCCGCGGUAAUACGUAGGGGGCUAGCGUUAUCCGGAUUUACUGGGCGUAAAGGGUGCGUAGGUGGUCCUUCAAGUCGGUGGUUAAAGGCUACGGCUCAACCGUAGUAAGCCGCCGAAACUGGAGGACUUGAGUGCAGGAGAGGAAAGUGGAAUUACCAGUGUAGCGGUGAAAUGCGUAGAUAUUGGGAGGAACACCAGUAGCGAAGGCGGCUUUCUGGACUGCAACUGACACUGAGGCACGAAAGCGUGGGUAGCAAACAGG